Molecule: ribosomal RNA, 445 nt
Filed under: uncultured bacterium
Lineage: Bacteria
Description: partial 16S ribosomal RNA
Rfam family: Bacterial small subunit ribosomal RNA
Source: RNAcentral
GUGAGGAAUAUUGGUCAAUGGGCGGGAGCCUGAACCAGCCAAGUCGCGUGAAGGAAGAAGGAUCUAUGGUUCGUAAACUUCUUUUGUGCAGGAAUAAAGUGGGUUACGUGUAACCUUUUGUAUGUACUGUACGAAUAAGGAUCGGCUAACUCCGUGCCAGCAGCCGCGGUAAUACGGAGGAUCCGAGCGUUAUCCGGAUUUAUUGGGUUUAAAGGGUGCGUAGGUGGAUUGAUAAGUCAGCGGUGAAAGUUUGCAGCUUAACUGUAAAAUUGCCGUUGAAACUGUCGGUCUUGAGUGCAAAUGAGGUAGGCGGAAUGUGUUGUGUAGCGGUGAAAUGCUUAGAUAUAACACAGAACUCCGAUUGCGAAGGCAGCUUACUGGGAUGCAACUGACACUGAUGCACGAAAGCGUGGGUAUCAAACAGGAUUAGAUACCCUUGUAGUCC